This 888-nucleotide ribosomal RNA is filed under the name uncultured archaeon. Its description in RNAcentral is "bacterial SSU rRNA". It matches the Rfam family "Archaeal small subunit ribosomal RNA", at positions 50 to 925 of the family's 1478-position model. The record is from RNAcentral.
CGCUUCCUAGCCAAUUUUGGGAGCGCGGCACACAGCUCAGUAACACGUGGCUAACCUGCCCUUGGGACAAGAACAACCCCGGGAAACUGGGGCUAAUUCGUGAUAGGCGAAGAACUCUGGAAUGAGUCUUCACCCAAAAGACGCUUACGCUACGCUUGUAGGCGCCGCCCAAGGAUGGGGCCACGACCGAUCAGGUUGUUGGUGAGGUAAUGGCUCACCAAGCCUUUUACCGGUGCGGGCCGUGAGAGCGGGAGCCCGGAGAUGGGCACUGAGACAAGGGCCCAGGCCCUACGGGGCGCAGCAGUCGCGAAAACUUUGCAAUAAGCGAAAGCUUGACAGGGCUAUCCCGAGUGCCAUCCGCUGAGGAAGGCUUUUACCCAGUCUAGAACGCUGGGGGAAUAAGGAGAGGGCAAGUCUGGUGUCAGCCGCCGCGGUAAUACCAGCUCUCCGAGUGGUGUGGAUGUUUAUUGGGCCUAAAGCAUCCGUAGCUGGCUAGGUUAGUCCCUUGUUAAAUCCACCGAAUUAAUCGUUGGAUUGCGGGGGAUACUGCCUGGCUAGGGGACGAGAGAGGCAGACGGUAUUUCCGGGGUAGGGGUGAAAUCCUAUAAUCCCGGGAGGACCACCAGUGGCGAAGGCUGUCUGCUAGAACGCGCCCGACGGUGAGGGAUGAAAGCUGGGGGAGCGAACCGGAUUAGAUACCCGGGUAGUCCCAGCUGUAAACGAUGCAGACUAGGUGUUUGGACGGCCACGUGCCGUUCUAGUGCCGCAGGGAAGCUGUUAAGUCUGCCGCCUGGGGAGUACGAUCGCAAGAUUGAAACUUAAAGGAAUUGGCGGGGGAGCACCACAAGGGGUGAAGCUUGCGGUUUAAUUGGAGUCAACGCCGGAAAU